Molecule: long non-coding RNA, 2248 nt
Filed under: Sus scrofa (pig)
Lineage: Eukaryota; Metazoa; Chordata; Mammalia; Artiodactyla; Suidae
Description: lncRNA (ENSSSCG00025043743.1)
Source: RNAcentral
CAAUUUAACAAUGUCUUUUCUCUUUUUGUUUCUGUUCAGGUGAUUGCUAUUGACAGGUCUUUAUUGAUUCUUUCUUCGGUUGUGUCCCAUUUCCUAAAUUCACCAACAAAAUUUUCAUGCCUGACAUCUCAUUUUUCAUUUCUAGUAUUUUCAUUUAGCUCUUUUUAAUACUUUCCAUAACUCUGAUGGAAUUCUCUGUCAUGCAUGUUGCCCACCUUUUCCACUAGAUCAUUUUAACAUACUUAUCACAGUUAUUUUACAGUUCCUGUCUGAUAAUUUUAACAUUUGGGCCAACUUUGGUCUGGUUCUAUUGAUUAUUUUAUCUCUUGACAAGUAGCCAUAUCAUUAUUUGGAGAAUGUGUAUGUGCCAUUAGUUUAUACUGAAUGCUACACAGUGUCUGCAAAAUAUAUUUAGUGAGGUAAAUACUCCCUAAAAUGGAGAAUUCCUUUCUUCCAUCAGGCUGUUAAUGACACAAGUUUCAUUAGUGUCUAGUCUGUAACAAGGCUGGGUUUAGACUUCAUUACUGCUUUAGUCAUAGUCUGUAUUUCAAAUUUUCUUAGUGGUGGACCCAUGCUCAGGCUGCCCAACACUUAGGGUGAAGCCAAAUAUAAUAGAUUCUAUGAAUUCUCCUCUGCCACCACCAACUUCAGCAGGCUUAAAUGCUGCACUACCGAAGAGGUCUCUCUCAGCAUCCCUGUGCCUCUCCUAGUGGUUCACUGCUGCCUGGUGCUUUGUGCAAAGCCCAGCAUUUAGCUCUAUAUAUCUGUGCCUCAGAGAGGAUCACUCUUCACCCUCCUGUCUGUUCUCCAAUGGGAGUUUACACUGUCUCAUGCUCAGUGCGGAACCAGAGCUUGGGGAGGUUUCUGGCCCUUACCCAGUAGCAGAUAAUCACUGACUCUUUUCCAUGUUGUAUCUAAGAGGGUUCCACUUGGUUUUCCUGCACUGGCCCUCAGUGCUAGGCAGGCCUUGUAUGCCUCUGCCUCAGGGGUGGGCCUUUCUCAACACUCCUGCCCUCUCCUGGUGGCAGAUAACUUCUGCCUUUAAUUCUUGGAAGGUCAGGAAACAGGAGAGUUUGUAUUGGUUCUCCUGCUUGAACUAUAGACUCAGGCAGGUUUGUGUACCUUUUCUCUUUAUUCUCCUGUCCUGCCCCCAAUCCUCCCUGCCAGCCAAAAGAAGCAUGAAGACACCUCCUUUGCCUGGGGCUUUCACAAAUUCCAAAGUGUUAUGCUACCCAUCUUUGGCUCUUAAAAAUUCAUUCCAACUUCAGCUGUUUUCUUCUCACUUGCUUCUGUCAUGCCCGCCUCCUCUUGCUGCAGCUCAGCCCAAGAUGAAGAUGAAACAAUCAUGUGUUCCAGCUCUUCUGGGAGGGGCUGUCAUCCUUUGGACCUUAAUUAAUCAGCAUACCUUAUGUCCUCAGCUUCUGACAGACUUAAAAAUACAUGAUUUUGCAGAGGGCCUGGAUUCUUAUUGUUAGAGUGGGAGAAACCUCUUCUUGCAACUUUUUCCAUGCCAGGCAGAAGACCUCCUUAAAUAUGAAUAUGAAUAAUAAACAACCUCUCCCCUUCUGGUAUGAAUUUAUAAGAUUUAAGACACAAAUUCACUUUUUGUAUCUGUAUUCUUUCCUAGUGAAACUGUAAUAAAAUCUUGCCACUUUCCUUUAGUCCCACAAGUCCUUGCACAGAGAGCUCAUGAAUAGUAAUGGCAUGAGGAAUUGGUGCACAAUCACCAAAGGAAUGGUUAACAUUAGAACAACCACAACAGACAUCUGUCGGGCACACAGCAGGUGAAGCAGGCUAUAUCUCAUGCAUGUAUGAUUUUAUGUUUCACAACUUGGUGAACUAGAUAACUGUUUUCCAGAUGUCAAAAUUCAUGUUCCGAGAAAUGAAAUGACUUGUCCAAGGCCAUACAGCUACUGCCGAGAGAAACCAAGACUUGAAUUUGAAGCGGUCUGGAUUCUAGAGUCUCCACUCUUAACCUCCACUGUAUAAAGGAGUGAGUGAGGGGUUAAAUAUUUACUUAAACUAAAUUUUCUUAUUUUGAUGCUCCAACUUCUAAUUCAUAGAGCUCUCCAUACAUCCAGGGUUAGGGCAACACACACACACCCCCACACACACCCCUUUUCACAUAAAUCUGCCACAAAGAAAUGCCAUUCACACAAUUCAUCUCAUCAGAAUGCUCUUACAUCACCCUACUGCCUUUAGAAGGGGACACCUUCCAGCCCACCCACCCAUUGUAACGGGCAGAAGG